This 456-nucleotide ribosomal RNA is filed under the name uncultured bacterium. RNAcentral's name for it is "bacterial SSU rRNA". It matches the Rfam family "Bacterial small subunit ribosomal RNA", at positions 340 to 786 of the family's 1533-position model. The record is from RNAcentral.
UACGGAAGGCAGCAGUGGGGAAUAUUGCACAAUGGGCGCAAGCCUGAUGCAGCCAUGCCGCGUGUAUGAAGAAGGCCUUCGGGUUGUAAAGUACUUUUCAGCGGGGAGGAAGGCGAUGCGGUUAAUAACCGCGUCGAUUGACGUUACCCGCAGAAGAAGCACCGGCUAACUCCGUGCCAGCAGCCGCGGUAAUACGGAGGGUGCAAGCGUUAAUCGGAAUUACUGGGCGUAAAGCGCACGCAGGCGGUCUGUUAAGUCAGAUGUGAAAUCCCCCGGGCUUAACCUGGGAACUGCAUUUGAAACUGGCAGGCUUGAGUCUUGUAGAGGGGGUAGAAUUCCAGGUGUAGCGGUGAAAUGCGUAGAGAUCUGGAGGAAUCCGGUGGCGAAGGCGGCCCCUGGGACAAGACUGACGCUCAGGGUGCGAAAGCGUGGGGAGCGAAACAGGAUUAGGAUACC